CUCGUCUAGGGAGUGUGGGAAGCGACGUCUUGCUGAGUUGCUGCAUGGUUGCUCCUACAGCUGUCUCAUCACUCUCCGUGGGAAUGAAAUAAGGUAACAAUCCCCAGAUGGCUGAGCUUCUGGGAGGGUUCUAGUGUUACCUGCAAGAAUGCAGCUUAGGAGGGACAGGGAGGCUUGUGUCUGCGACUGGCACACCUUGUUGGCUUCCCCGAAGCAAGGAAGCCGCCCUGGAGGAUCCUAAGAGGACUUGCAUCUUAAGGAUAAGCCCAGGGUAUUGCAUGGAGGCCACUCACUGUGGCCCAGGGUCCCCUGAUGUCAUGGAACCACGGCCUGAGGCAACUGGCCAGCAUGCCAUAGGGACCAAUCAACCAGGGCAGGAUCACCAUCAAGCAGUUUGAGGAUCGUUUUCAAUGGAAGAAAACGAGAAGCAGAAGGUGGAACGCCACCCCCCUCGAGGUACGAUUUGUAGUUGUCAGGUGUCCACUAAGUGACAUGACAGAGGCAGACCUGCUUUGGCACCUUCAGGGUCCCACUUGGUGGCACGUUAGCCAUAGGUCCUUCUCUGCCCC
Ochotona princeps (American pika) is the source of this 569-nucleotide long non-coding RNA. RefSeq lists it as uncharacterized. The record is from RefSeq and is a predicted model, not a curated record. The transcript has 4 exons. Lineage: Eukaryota; Metazoa; Chordata; Mammalia; Lagomorpha; Ochotonidae.